RNAcentral lists this ribosomal RNA (1394 nucleotides) under bacterium NLAE-zl-P316. Its description in RNAcentral is "bacterial SSU rRNA". It matches the Rfam family "Bacterial small subunit ribosomal RNA". The record is from RNAcentral.
GAGCUUACCAUGCAGUCUCUUGAUCCUUCGGGUGAAGGUGGCGGACGGGUGAGUAACGCGUAAAGAACUUGCCUUACAGACUGGGACAACAUUUGGAAACGAAUGCUAAUACCGGAUAUUAUGACUGAGUCGCAUGAUUUGGUUAUGAAAGCUAUAUGCGCUGUGAGAGAGCUUUGCGUCCCAUUAGUUAGUUGGUGAGGUAACGGCUCACCAAGACGAUGAUGGGUAGCCGGCCUGAGAGGGUGAACGGCCACAAGGGGACUGAGACACGGCCCUUACUCCUACGGGAGGCAGCAGUGGGGAAUAUUGGACAAUGGACCAAAAGUCUGAUCCAGCAAUUCUGUGUGCACGAUGAAGUUUUUCGGAAUGUAAAGUGCUUUCAGUUGGGAAGAAGUCAGUGACGGUACCAACAGAAGAAGCGACGGCUAAAUACGUGCCAGCAGCCGCGGUAAUACGUAUGUCGCAAGCGUUAUCCGGAAUUAUUGGGCGUAAAGCGCGUCUAGGCGGUUUAGUAAGUCUGAUGUGAAAAUGCGGGGGCUCAACCCCGUAUUGCGUUGGAAACUGUUAAACUAGAGUACUGGAGAGGUAGGCGGAACUACAAGUGUAGAGGUGAAAUUCGUAGAUAUUUGUAGGAAUGCCGAUGGGGAAGCCAGCCUACUGGACAGAUACUGACGCUAAAGCGCGAAAGCGUGGGUAGCAAACAGGAUUAGAUACCCUGGUAGUCCACGCCGUAAACGAUGAUUACUAGGUGUUGGGGGUCGAACCUCAGCGCCCAAGCUAACGCGAUAAGUAAUCCGCCUGGGGAGUACGUACGCAAGUAUGAAACUCAAAGGAAUUGACGGGGAACCCGCACAAGCGGUGGAGCAUGUGGGUUAAUUCGACGCAACGCGAGGAACCUUACCAGCGUUUGACAUCCCAAGAAGUUAACAGAGAUGUUUUCGUGCCUCUUCGGAGGAACUUGGUGACAGGUGGUGCAUGGCUGUCGUCAGCUCGUGUCGUGAGAUGUUGGGUUAAGUCCCGCAACGAGCGCAACCCCUUUCGUAUGUUACCAUCAUUAAGUUGGGGACUCAUGCGAGACUGCCUGCGAUGAGCAGGAGGAAGGUGGGGAUGACGUCAAGUCAUCAUGCCCCUUAUACGCUGGGCUACACACGUGCUACAAUGGGUAGUACAGAGAGCUGCAAACCUGCGAGGGUAAGCUAAUCUCAUAAAACUAUUCUUAGUUCGGAUUGUACUCUGCAACUCGAGUACAUGAAGUUGGAAUCGCUAGUAAUCGCAAAUCAGCUAUGUUGCGGUGAAUACGUUCUCGGGUCUUGUACACACCGCCCGUCACACCACGAGAGUUGGUUGCACCUGAAGUAACAGGCCUAACCGUAAGGAGGGAUGUUCCGAGGUGU